Molecule: non-coding RNA, 134 nt
Organism: Candida tropicalis MYA-3404
Lineage: Eukaryota; Fungi; Ascomycota; Pichiomycetes; Serinales; Debaryomycetaceae
Source: Rfam
GCCCCCUUGGUGCAGCCGGUAGCAUGAACGAUUCCGGUUCGACUCCUGUUUCGAAGCUUUAAAAUACUUUAAAGGUUUUUGAAAGGAGAAUUGGAACUAGCGUUUGGUCGCGGGUUCAAGUCCCGCAGGGGGCU